Molecule: ribosomal RNA, 191 nt
Filed under: uncultured bacterium
Lineage: Bacteria
Description: partial 16S ribosomal RNA
Rfam family: Bacterial small subunit ribosomal RNA
Source: RNAcentral
GCAACUCGCCUGCAUGAAGUCGGAAUUGCUGGUAAUCGCGGAUCAGCAUGCCGCGGUGAAUACGUUCCCGGGCCUUGUACACACCGCCCGUCACACCAUGGGAGUCGGUAACACCCGAAGCCGAUAGUCUAACGAAAGAGGACGUCGUCGAAGGUGGGAUUGAUGACUGGGUGAAGUCGUAACAAGGUAUC